CGUUUUUAUCUUCAAUUUUAAGAUGCUUUGAGACCCCGGCCUUGGCCUCGGUGAUCUGCGCAGACCGACCUGCCACUCAAGCCGCCUGCGGUACUCUGGGCAGAGCGAUCGCAGAUGUGCAGAGCAGCCGGGUUUCCUUGGAAGCCCCUGCGUCUUUCUCGCCGCCGUUGCUUGACGACCCAGAGGACACAGACAGCGGCGGCACGCGUGUGUGCUGGCGAGGGUCCCACUUCUUGGCUUUGGUCUCUGCAGACGUCCAGCCGGCCCCGGUCACAGCGCAGGGUUUUCCAAUGCAACCGACAGACCCGGGCUCACCUUGAGCUCCUCGGCACGCGGAGGCGACUUUAGCAGCGCUGCAGACCUAGCCUCCUGGAGGGAGCGGAGGGCCGGGACCCGGGGCAGCCAGUCCGGCUCAGUAACAUUGGAGCCCCUCCUCAAAAACCAGCACUCCUCAUUAAUUGAUGAAUAACAGCCAAACCCAAUAAAAUGAUUUUUUUUUUGCUAGUUUCAGUAGCCUGUUAUGAGAAAACAUGUGUUUCCAGUGGAUGUUCAAUAGCCCUGAGACAGCCAUCUGCUGAAGGUAUCAAUGAGUAGAAAAUACUCCCAUGCUGAAUUGGGAUUCCACAUCCACUUCAAAUCUGGAAACUUCCCACGGAAGUCUUUUAGUUCAAGAACAUGCCGCAGGCACACAGUGCCCAACAGGUGGAAAUCGGCUUGAGAGAGCACUUGGCCAGGGUGAGUCCCCUCCAGAAUCAUCUCAGCCUGGGGAAUGCUGGUGGAAGCUAGGAGCUCAAAAAAAAAAAAAAAAGAAAUAAAAGAGAAAUGAAAUGAAUUUAAAGUACAAGGGCUUAGAACUAUCUGGAUGGAAGAAUGCCUUAACAGCAAAUUUAUCCCAGAGGUCAUGUAAUUCACUCAAGAGAACAUGAACUUAAAUACCAGACAGAUUUGUAAUGGAACAUACAAAACAAGAUCCUUCAGGUCCUUUGGAUUGAAAUGGGUAUGUACAGGUGGAGUGCAGAGUACUGGGGAUUGAACUCAGGGGCUCUCAACACUGAAUUACAU
Molecule: long non-coding RNA, 1062 nt
Organism: Sciurus carolinensis (gray squirrel)
Lineage: Eukaryota; Metazoa; Chordata; Mammalia; Rodentia; Sciuridae
Exons: 5
Source: RefSeq, a predicted model, not a curated record